GUCCACGCCGUAAACGAUGAAUACUAGGUGUCGGGCGUCAAACUCGGUGCCGCAGCUAACGCAUUAAGUAUUCCGCCUGGGGAGUACGCACGCAAGUGUGAAACUCAAAGGAAUUGACGGGGACCCGCACAAGCAGCGGAGCAUGUGGUUUAAUUCGAAGCAACGCGAAGAACCUUACCAGGUCUUGACAUCUCUCUGAUCGACUCUUAGCCGAGUCUUCCCUUCGGGGCAGAGAUGACAGGUGGUGCAUGGUUGUCGU
Molecule: ribosomal RNA, 259 nt
Filed under: uncultured bacterium
Lineage: Bacteria
Description: partial 16S ribosomal RNA
Rfam family: Bacterial small subunit ribosomal RNA
Source: RNAcentral